CCCACUGAUGUUGAAAAAUUAGGGGAUGAGCUGUGGAUAGGGGUGAAAGGCUAAACAAACUUGGAAAUAGCUGGUUCUCUCCGAAAACUAUUUAGGUAGUGCCUCAAGUAUCACCGACGGGGGUAAAGCACUGUUAUGGCUAGGGGGUCAUCGCGACUUACCAAACCAUUGCAAAACUCAGAAUACCGUUGAGUGCGAGCUUGGGAGACAGACAUCGGGUGCUAACGUCCGGUGUCAAGAGGGAAACAACCCAGACCGCCGAUUAAGGUCCCCGAAGACAUAGUUAAGUGGGAAACGAGGUGGGAAGGCUUAGACAGCCAGGAGGUUGGCUUAGAAGCAGCCAUCCUUUAAAGAAAGCGUAAUAGCUCACUGGUCGAGUCGUCCUGCGCGGAAGAUGUAACGGGGCUCAAACUAUGCACCGAAAUCGCGGAUAUCCGCAAGGAUAUGGUAGGAGAGCGUUCUGUAAGCCGAUGAAGGUGUCUUGAGAAGGAUGCUGGAGGUAUCAGAAGUGCGAAUGCUGACAUGAGU
RNAcentral lists this ribosomal RNA (528 nucleotides) under uncultured bacterium. Its description in RNAcentral is "bacterial LSU rRNA". It matches the Rfam family "Bacterial large subunit ribosomal RNA", at positions 779 to 1307 of the family's 2925-position model. The record is from RNAcentral.